GCGCUCGUAGUGAAGGGGUUAUCACGCCUCCCUGUCACGGAGGAGAUCGCCGGUUCAAAUCCGGUCGAGCGCGCCA
RNAcentral lists this transfer RNA (76 nucleotides) under Candidatus Saccharibacteria bacterium RIFCSPHIGHO2_01_FULL_46_30. RNAcentral describes it as "tRNA-Asp". It matches the Rfam family "tRNA". Rfam says of the family: Transfer RNA (tRNA) molecules are approximately 80 nucleotides in length. Lineage: Bacteria; Candidatus Saccharimonadota. The record is from RNAcentral. RNAcentral also lists the same sequence under 10 other names.